RNAcentral lists this transfer RNA (76 nucleotides) under Escherichia phage Paula. RNAcentral describes it as "tRNA-Met-00002". The record is from RNAcentral. RNAcentral also lists the same sequence under 3 other names. Lineage: Duplodnaviria; Heunggongvirae; Uroviricota; Caudoviricetes.
UGAUAGUGUGAAGCUGGCGUUUCGAGUGCUUUCAUAAGGCAUUGCGAGAAGAGUUCGAUUCUCUUACUAUCAACCA